Non-coding RNA from Ixodes scapularis (black-legged tick), 73 nucleotides. The record is from Rfam. NCBI's taxonomy places the organism in Eukaryota, Metazoa, Arthropoda, Arachnida, Ixodida, Ixodidae.
UCCUGGUUAGCUCUUUUGGUAAAGCGCUCCACUGGGAACGGAGAGGUCCCUGGUUCGAUACCAGGACCAGGUG